AAUAGAUACCCUGGUAGUCCACGCCGUAAACGAUGGAUACUAGCUGUUGGGCGCAAGUUCAGUGGCUAAGCGAAAGUGAUAAGUAUCCCACCUGGGGAGUACGUUCGCAAGAAUGAAACUCAAAGGAAUUGACGGGGGCCCGCACAAGCGGUGGAGCAUGUGGUUUAAUUCGAUGAUACGCGAGGAACCUUACCAAGGCUUAAAUGUAGAUUGACCGGUUUGGAAACAGAUCUUUCGCAAGACAAUUUACAAGGUGCUGCAUGGUUGUCGUCAGCUCGUGCCGUGAGGUGUCAGGUUAAGUCCUAUAACGAGCGCAACCCCUGUUGUUAGUUGCCAGCGAGUCAAGUCGGGAACUCUAACAAGACUGCCAGUGCAAACUGUGAGGAAGGUGGGGAUGACGUCAAAUCAUCACGGCCCUUACGCCUUGGGCUACACACGUGCUACAAUGGCCGGUACAGAGAGCAGCCACUGGGUGACCAGGAGCGAAUCUAUAAAACCGGUCACAGUUCGGAUCGGAGU
This 519-nucleotide ribosomal RNA is filed under the name uncultured bacterium. Its description in RNAcentral is "bacterial SSU rRNA". It matches the Rfam family "Bacterial small subunit ribosomal RNA", at positions 777 to 1304 of the family's 1533-position model. The record is from RNAcentral.